UCCGAGUUGACCCCGGCAGUCUCCCAUGAGUCCCCACCAUUACGUGCUGGCAACAUAGAACAAGGGUUGCGCUCGUUGCGGGACUUAACCCAACAUCUCACGAAACGAGCUGACGACAGCCAUGCACCACCUGUGCUAAGCCCCGAAGGACACCGCAUCUCUACGGCUUUUCCUGGCAUGUCAAACCCAGGUAAGGUUCUUCGCGUUGCCUCGAAUUAAUCCGCAUGCUCCGCCGCUUGUGCGGGCCCCCGUCAAUUCCUUUGAGUUUUAGCCUUGCGGCCGUACUCCCCAGGCGGGGCGCUUAAUGCGUUAGCUACGGCACGGAACCCAUGGAAUAGGUCCCACACCUAGCGCCCAACGUUUACGGUGUGGACUAC
Molecule: unclassified non-coding RNA, 377 nt
Filed under: uncultured Actinomycetes bacterium
Lineage: Bacteria; Bacillati; Actinomycetota; Actinomycetes
Description: uncultured actinobacterium contains 16S-23S intergenic spacer region
Source: RNAcentral